UAGGGAAUCUUCCGCAAUGGGCGAAAGCCUGACGGAGCAACGCCGCGUGAGUGAUGAAGGUCUUCGGAUCGUAAAACUCUGUUAUUAGGGAAGAACAAAUGUGUAAGUAACUAUGCACGUCUUGACGGUACCUAAUCAGAAAGCCACGGCUAACUACGUGCCAGCAGCCGCGGUAAUACGUAGGUGGCAAGCGUUAUCCGGAAUUAUUGGGCGUAAAGCGCGCGUAGGCGGUUUUUUAAGUCUGAUGUGAAAGCCCACGGCUCAACCGUGGAGGGUCAUUGGAAACUGGAAAACUUGGGUGCAGAAGAGGAAAGGGGAAUUCCAUGUGUAGCGGUGAAAUGCGCAGAGAUAUGGAGGAACACCAGUGGCGAAGGCGACUUUCUGGUCUGUAACUGACGCUGAUGUGCGAAAGCGUGGGGAUCAAACAGG
This 429-nucleotide ribosomal RNA is filed under the name Actinomycetes bacterium. RNAcentral's name for it is "Actinobacteria bacterium partial 16S ribosomal RNA". It matches the Rfam family "Bacterial small subunit ribosomal RNA", at positions 355 to 776 of the family's 1533-position model. The record is from RNAcentral. Lineage: Bacteria; Bacillati; Actinomycetota; Actinomycetes.